CAGUAGCCGCGGUAAUACGGAGGGUGCGAGCGUUAAUCGGAAUUACUGGGCGUAAAGCGUACGCAGGCGGUUUGUUAAGUCAGAUGUGAAAUCCCCGAGCUUAACUCGGGAACUGCAUUUGAAACUGGCAGGCUAGAGUCUCGUAGAGGGGGGUAGAAUUCCAGGUGUAGCGGUGAAAUGCGUAGAGAUCUGGAGGAAUACCGGUGGCGAAGGCGGCCCCCUGGACGAAGACUGACGCUCAGGUACGAAAGCGUGGGGAGCAAACAGGAUUAGAUACCCGCGUAGUCCCUGUCUCUUAUAC
This 301-nucleotide ribosomal RNA is filed under the name uncultured bacterium. RNAcentral describes it as "partial 16S ribosomal RNA". It matches the Rfam family "Bacterial small subunit ribosomal RNA", at positions 509 to 807 of the family's 1533-position model. The record is from RNAcentral.